CCUUACCUACUUUUGACAUCCACGGAAUCUAGCAGAGAUGCUUUAGUGCCUUCGGGAACCGUGAGACAGGGGCGGCAUGGCUGUCGUCAGCUUGUGUUUGUGAAAUGUUGGGUUAAGUCCCGCAACGAGCGCAACCCUUUCCUUUUUUUGCCAGCGGUUCGGCCGGGAACUCAAAGGAGACUGCCGGUGAUAAACCGGAGGAAGGUGGGGAUGACGUCAAGUCAUCAUGGCCCUUACGAGUAGGGCUACACACGUGCUACAAUGGUAUAUACAAAGAGUAGCGACCUCGCGAGAGCAAGCUAACCUCAUAAAGUAUAUCGUAGUCCGGAUUGGAGUCUGCAACUCGCACUCCAUGAAGUCGGAAUCGCUAGUAAU
RNAcentral lists this ribosomal RNA (375 nucleotides) under uncultured bacterium. RNAcentral's name for it is "bacterial SSU rRNA". It matches the Rfam family "Bacterial small subunit ribosomal RNA", at positions 969 to 1342 of the family's 1533-position model. The record is from RNAcentral.